CCCGUUCUGAAACACGGACCAAGGAGUCUAGAUACCGCGCGAGUCAAAGGGUUGGCUAAACCCCAAGGCGAAACGAAAGUGAUUUCGAUAGGGCCGAUCCGGUUCGCGCGGGAAGGCUGAGGGGUCAAUGGGGCACGAGGCCGGCGACGUCGGUAGGGGUUUAACGGCCUCUCCGUCGUCGUCUUACUCAUCCCAACUCCCCACAGUUCCUCCCCCACGAUUUGUCUCCCUAAUAUGAGGACCGGCGCAGGCCCGGGGCUCGCCAAUGCUUCCUCCCCGCC
This 281-nucleotide ribosomal RNA is filed under the name Cubaris nepalensis. RNAcentral describes it as "partial large subunit ribosomal RNA". Lineage: Eukaryota; Metazoa; Arthropoda; Malacostraca; Isopoda; Armadillidae. The record is from RNAcentral.